Molecule: ribosomal RNA, 523 nt
Filed under: uncultured bacterium
Lineage: Bacteria
Description: partial 16S ribosomal RNA
Rfam family: Bacterial small subunit ribosomal RNA
Source: RNAcentral
GACGAACGCUGGCGGCGUGCCUAAUACAUGCAAGUCGAACGCUUUUUCUUUCACCGGAGCUUGCUCCACCGAAAGAAAAAGAGUGGCGAACGGGUGAGUAACACGUGGGUAACCUGCCCAUCAGGAGGGGAUAACACUUGGAAACAGGUGCUAAUACCGUAUAACACUAUUUUCCGCAUGGAAGAAAGUUGAAAGGCGCUUUUGCGUCACUGAUGGAUGGACCCGCGGUGCAUUAGCUAGUUGGUGAGGUAACGGCUCACCAAGGCAACGAUGCAUAGCCGACCUGGGAGGGUGAUCGGCCACACUGGGACUGAGACACGGCCCAGACUCCUACGGGAGGCAGCAGUAGGGAAUCUUUGGCAAUGGACGAAAGUCUGACCGAGCAACGCCGCGUGAGUGAAGAAGGUUUUCGGAUCGUAAAACUCUGUUGUUAGAGAAGAACAAGGAUGAGAGUAAAAUGUUCAUCCCUUGACGGUAUCUAACCAGAAAGCCACGGCUAACUACGUGCCAGCAGCCGCCGUAA